RNAcentral lists this ribosomal RNA (381 nucleotides) under uncultured eukaryote. Its description in RNAcentral is "SSU rRNA". It matches the Rfam family "Eukaryotic small subunit ribosomal RNA", at positions 587 to 972 of the family's 1831-position model. The record is from RNAcentral.
AGCUCCAAUAGCGUAUAUUAAAGUUGUUGCGGUUAAAAAGCUCGUAGUUGGAUUUCUGUCGAGGACAGCCGGUCCACACUUUGUGUGAGUAUCUGGUUUGGCCUUGGCAUCCUCUUGAAAAACAGCUCUGCGCUUGAUUGCGUGGACUGGAGUUCAAGACUUUUACUUUGAGGAAAUUAGAGUGUUCACGGCAGGCAAACGCCUUGAAUAUAUUAGCAUGGAAUAAUAAUAUAGGACCUUUGUUCUAUUUUGUUGGUUUCUAGAGCGAAGGUAAUGAUUAAUAGGGAUAAUUGGGGGCAUUCGUAUUAACGCGUCAGAGGUGGAAUUCUUGGAUUGCGUUACGACGAACUACUGCGAAAGCAUUUGCCAAGGAUGUUUUCA